CCUACGGGAGGCAGCAGUGGGGAAUUGUUCGCAAUGGGCGAAAGCCUGACGACGCAACGCCGCGUGGAGGAUGAAGAUUUUCGGAUCGUAAACUCCUUUCGAUCGAGACGAAUAGCCUUUUGGUUAAUAGCCGAAAGGAAUGACGGUACCGAGAGAAGAAGCCCCGGCUAACUCCGUGCCAGCAGCCGCGGUAAUACGGGGGGGCAAGCGCUGUUCGGAAUUACUGGGCGUAAAGGGCUCGUAGGUGGCCAACUAAGUCAUACGUGAAAUCCCUCGGCUUAACCGGGGAACUGCGUCUGAUACUGGAUGGCUUGAGUUUGGGAGAGGGAUGCGGAAUUCCAGGUGUAGCGGUGAAAUGCGUAGAUAUCUGGAGGAACACCGGUUGGCGAAGGCGGCAUCCUGGACCAAUACUGACGCUGAGGAGCGAAAGCCAGGGGAGCAAACGGGAUUAGAUACCCCGGUAGUCCUGGCCCUAAACGAUGAAUGCCUUGGUGUGGGCGGUAGUCGAUCCUCGCGUCGCGACGACUACGACAUAAGACAUCCGUCCGUGGGAGGUACGGUCGCGAAGGACGUGAACGUACAAAGUAGAAGUUAGACGGCGUGAGACGUGCCGACGACGACGACGAGGGAGUUAGG
This 636-nucleotide ribosomal RNA is filed under the name uncultured bacterium. RNAcentral describes it as "bacterial SSU rRNA". The stretch from base 1 to 546 matches the Rfam family "Bacterial small subunit ribosomal RNA", at positions 338 to 873 of the family's 1533-position model. The record is from RNAcentral.